UACAAUACUCAUUGCUAUUUUAAUGGUUUCAUAUGAUUAAAAAAAAUUUUUACAGUUUUAUAUUAACAAUAAAGUACUAUACCAAAAAAACAAUUUUUUUUUUCGAAUAAGUAAUAUUUUGAAUCUGUUUAAGGUAUUAUUAUUGCCUAGAUAUAUACUGUAAUCUUUUUGCACUUAUUAUACAUUUUAGUUUUUACAUAUUUUUGUUUAUAUUUAUUUUACUAAAUAAUUACUAAUAGAUAAAGAAGUAUGCGAAGGAUUUAAUUUCCCAACAACAAAGUACUCCAAAGUAUAUUUUUUGAUUCUGUAUCUCAAUAAUAUCCUGACCUAUCGAAUCGAUAUCUUGGUAAUACACUUACACACAUAAAUCUUUUA
This is a non-coding RNA of Hydra vulgaris (swiftwater hydra), 375 nucleotides long. NCBI's taxonomy places the organism in Eukaryota, Metazoa, Cnidaria, Hydrozoa, Anthoathecata, Hydridae. The record is from RefSeq and is a predicted model, not a curated record.